UAGCAGGAUUUCCCCCUUGUUCACUCUCGUUUUAUCAGCAAUUAUGCGGUACUGUUUGCACUACUAACGCUCUGCUAAUUUUUCUUUUAUGGCCCUAAAGUACACAGUGUUCUUUAUAGUAAAUGAUGCACUAAAUGGAACGGGAGAUUUUGGAAUUGAAUUUAUUGCCCCCGUUUUGUAAGAAGGGUAAUUCACGUUGUGUAAUUUAGUACCUUCCUUGUUAAAAAGUGAAAAACCGUAUUUUGCUUGAUUCAAGAGAACGAUAAUGAAGUACUGAUCGUUUGUUGCACUUUUUCAAGCUAAACUGAAAUUUAAAGUCGGCAAAAGUAUGGUGAAAUUGAUUUUCAGCGGCUUGUGCCUUGAAUCUCGAGAAGUUAGUGAGAGUUUGUCUAUAAUUAAGUGAUGAAAACACUUGGUGCUAGUUGCAUCCACCUGGUAAAGAAAGCUCAUAAAAUGGUUAUAUUUUCUUUUGAAGUACAAACUAAUAAUUUGUAAUCUUUAGCUGGAACAAUCAUCAGCUUGGUUUCUAUGAUAGAUUGCACGUUGACGAAGCUGCUUUUAGGGAAGACCAACUUUUGUACAGCUCUCGAACGACAACAAAAUCUUCUUUUUAUAUAAACAUCAAUUUAAUCUCGUUAGAAUCCUAUUAGUUAACAAAACAUGGACUCAAAUUAAUUGUGUGGAAGGAAUUGAGGCGAACUCGAUUGUAUAUAAUUGUUUAGUGUGUCGAGUCGAAAUAGAUUGCAAAGCAUUGAGGUUGACUUUAGGAUUUCACGUAGCACAAAACAUGCUUUAAAAUAAUUUGUUGCAUUAAAUGCAACAAUCUUGUUCCACUUACGAAACAAAUAUUACAAAAACAAAUAAUACAGUUGAGAAAUAUUCACUUUCGUGAAUCACUGUAAAUAGGUAUACAGUGCGGCUUUAAAAUUUAAAAUUAUAACUAGUCAUUUAAAGUUAGCUUGUUGGCUAGAAACCAAUUUUUGGCCGUCAAAACCGACUGUAUAUAAACCGUUUUCCUCAUCUACCGCAUUCACUAGGGUGGUAUCAUCUGCAAAUUGAAAUGGACUGACACGAUACAUUCGAGGAAGUCAUUUACAUACACUAGAAACAGAAGAGGCUCCAAGAGUGAACCUUGUGGCCCACCAUGAUGUAAGGGUAGAAUUUUUGAGUUUAACUUUUUCCAGUUUACAAACUGACCCUAUUCUUUAAAAAGGAUAGCAACUGUUGUCAAGCGUUCUGAUUUAAAUGAUAUUUUUUUUUAGCUCGAACCACAGACCAUUAAACAAAUAGGAAGACAGUUCAUUGCCAUUUAAUCGUAUAUAUAGGAUAAUAGUCUAGGAAGCGACACUAGCGCUGCGCGAGCGGCUGGAGCAAACACUCAUUCGCUUAUACUCGUGUAAAUUUCGUAAUAGAUCGUGUUUACUGUCAACAAAUAUCUCCUUUAACGUCAUUCAAAUUCAAACGCCAAAUUAUAAUUUUUUCAAAAGGUUUUCAGUAUUUUACUUGCUUCAGAUACAACGGAAAUGAAAAUUAUUAAUAAAUAUCGAUGCAAAGUUCCAAAUUGUCCGUCAGUAUACGCAACAGGAAUCAACAAGAACAAAAAUAAACAUUUUUUUAUUUUUCCUAAAUCUCCAGUUCAAAAACAAAAGUGGAUAGAUACCAUUAAUGCCUCCUGCACAGAAAAAAUUGUUGUUAAUUGUAAAAAAGCUUACAUUUGUGAAGAUCAUUUCAGUAAAAAUUACUUUACGAGCACCGCACAAACGAACCUUCAUAAAUACGCAAUUCCCACUAUUUUUAAGGACAGUAGUCAAGCUGUGAUUAAUACUAAUGGUGAUGGGUAUUCCAGUAAAAGUGAACAAAAAAAUUAUAAAAUUUUUAUUUUUUUAGUCGGAACUAUUCCGGAAUCUGAGUAUGAUGGUAGCGUAAAUUCACAAAGACGCAAACGCCAUUGUGAUACUCUCACGACAAUAUCACAUACUCCGAAAAAAAGAAAAUAUUCACCCAGUGUUUUGAAAAAGGUAGGAUGCAAAAGAGUGGACGACUUAACUCCUAGAGAGCAAACUUUAUUUAGAAUAACAAAACGCCAGAAACAGGCAAUAAACAGAUUAAAUUUAAAAUUAUGUAAAUCAAAAAAAAACUUGGAUCUUCUAAAACGUGCUCCCCAAAAUCAUCUAAUUAACAUUUUACAAGAAAAUUGCAAUUCUGUAAGUGCAAGCUUCAUAAAAUCCCAAUUUGAUAACAUGAAAAAAAAAAUUCCUAGAUGGUCAACUGAAAAUAAAAUAUUUGCCUUGGCUAUGUACAAAAGAGGUCCAAAAUGUUAUCGCUUUUUAAAACAUUUUUUCAGACUUCCGUCAAAAACAACUUUGUACAAAUUUUUGAAAAAUAUACCUUUUGAAUGUGGCGUGAAUGACGAACUAUUUGAUAAGUUAAAAAUGAGAAUUGAGAAACUGAAACCAAGAGAUCGAUUAUGCAAGCUUAUGUUUGAUGAAGUGUCUUUAUCUACAAAUUUAACCUAUUCGAGAUCUACUGACAAAAUUAUUGGUUUUGAGGAUUUGGGAUCUUUAGGACGAAAUAAAAAUUAUGCUAACCAUGCGUUAGUAUUUAUGAUACAAGGUAUUAGUUCCGGAUGGAAACAACCAAUAGCGUACUAUUUUGUU
Long non-coding RNA from Zophobas morio, 2657 nucleotides. RefSeq lists it as uncharacterized. The record is from RefSeq and is a predicted model, not a curated record. The transcript has 3 exons. Lineage: Eukaryota; Metazoa; Arthropoda; Insecta; Coleoptera; Tenebrionidae.